AAUAACUUAGUUUGUGGUGUAGAAUCGGAAAUGAAAAACUUUAAUUUAGGUGUAGGUGUGAUCGAUGAAGAAUUUUAAGUACUGAAAAAG
Molecule: ribosomal RNA, 90 nt
Filed under: Branchiostoma japonicum (Japanese lancelet)
Lineage: Eukaryota; Metazoa; Chordata; Leptocardii; Amphioxiformes; Branchiostomatidae
Description: 16S rRNA
Source: RNAcentral